Molecule: ribosomal RNA, 465 nt
Filed under: Vreelandella stevensii
Lineage: Bacteria; Pseudomonadati; Pseudomonadota; Gammaproteobacteria; Oceanospirillales; Halomonadaceae
Description: partial 16S ribosomal RNA
Rfam family: Bacterial small subunit ribosomal RNA
Source: RNAcentral
CCUACGGGGGGCUGCAGUGGGGAAUAUUGGACAAUGGGGGCAACCCUGAUCCAGCCAUGCCGCGUGUGUGAAGAAGGCCCUCGGGUUGUAAAGCACUUUCAGUGAGGAAGAACGCCUGGUGGUUAAUACCCAUCAGGAAAGACAUCACUCACAGAAGAAGCACCGGCUAACUCCGUGCCAGUAGCCGCGGUAAUACGGAGGGUGCGAGCGUUAAUCGGAAUUACUGGGCGUAAAGCGCGCGUAGGUGGCUUGAUAAGCCGGUUGUGAAAGCCCCGGGCUCAACCUGGGAACGGCAUCCGGAACUGUCAAGCUAGAGUGCAGGAGAGGAAGGUAGAAUUCCCGGUGUAGCGGUGAAAUGCGUAGAGAUCGGGAGGAAUACCAGUGGCGAAGGCGGCCUUCUGGACUGACACUGACACUGAGGUGCGAAAGCGUGGGUAGCAAACAGGAUUAGAUACCCUUGUAGUC